GGGGGCCCGCAAGCGGUGGAGCAUGUGGUUCAAUUCGGCGCAACGCGAAGAACCUUACCUGGGCUCGAACGGCUUAAGAUCAUCCUUGGAAACAGGGACUUCCCGCAAGGGACUUGAGUCGAGGUGCUGCAUGGCUGUCGUCAGCUCGUGUCGUGAGAUGUUGGGUUAAGUCCCGCAACGAGCGCAACCCUUGUCCUGUGUUGCCACUCCCCCUAAAAGGAAGCACUCUCAGGAGACCGCCAGCGAUAAGCUGGAGGAAGGUGGGGAUGAUGUCAAGUCAUCAUGGCCUUUAUGUCCAGGGCUACACACGUGCUACAAUGGACGGUACAAAGCGCUGCUAACCCGCGAGGGGGAGCCAAUCGCAAAAAACCGUUCUCAGUUCGAGAUCGCAGGCUGCAACCCGCCUGCGUGAAGCUGGAAUCGCUAGUAAUGGCGUAUCAGAACGACGCCGUGAAUACGUUCCCGGGCCUUGUACACACC
Molecule: ribosomal RNA, 480 nt
Filed under: uncultured bacterium
Lineage: Bacteria
Description: bacterial SSU rRNA
Rfam family: Bacterial small subunit ribosomal RNA
Source: RNAcentral